UUCACGAGGAUGCCUAGUAAGCGCAUGUCAUCAGCAUGCGUUGAUUACGUCCCUGCCCUUUGUACACACCGCCCGUCGCUACUACCGAUUGAAUGGCUUAGUGAGGCUUUCGGACUGGCUCAGGGAGGUCGGCAACGACCACCCAGAGCCGGAAAGUUUGUCAAACUACGUCAUUUAGAGGAAGUAAAAGUCGUAACAAGGUUUCCGUAGGUGAACCUGCGGAAGGAUCAUUACCGAGUUGAUUCGGGCUCCGGCCCGAUCCUCCCACCCUUUGUGUACCUACCUCUGUUGCUUUGGCGGGCCGCGGUCCUCCGCGGCCGCCCCCCUCCCCGGGGGGGUGGCCAGCGCCCGCCAGAGGACCAUCAAACUCCAGUCAGUAAACGAUGCAGUCUGAAAAACAUUUAAUAAACUAAAACUUUCAACAACGGAUCUCUUGGUUCUGGCAUCGAUGAAGAACGCAGCGAAAUGCGAUAAGUAAUGUGAAUUGCAGAAUUCAGUGAAUCAUCGAAUCUUUGAACGCACAUUGCGCCCUUUGGUAUUCCGAAGGGCAUGCCUGUUCGAGCGUCAUUACAACCCUCAAGCUCUGCUUGGUAUUGGGCACCGUCCUUUGCGGGCGCGCCUCAAAGACCUCGGCGGUGGCGUCUUGCCUCAAGCGUAGUAGAACAUACAUCUCGCUUCGGAGCGCAGGGCGUCGCCCGCCGGACGAACCUUCUGAACUUGUCUCAAGGUUGACCUCGGAUCAGGUAGGGAUACCCGCUGAACUUAAGCAU
Molecule: ribosomal RNA, 770 nt
Filed under: fungal sp. DZGS09
Lineage: Eukaryota; Fungi
Description: eukaryotic LSU rRNA
Rfam family: Eukaryotic small subunit ribosomal RNA (bases 1-233)
Source: RNAcentral